CCAAGACAUCAAAACAAUUUCAGACAUAGUUAUGAUGACACCCAAAUCCAGGACGGUGGAGGUUAGGGUGGUGGAGGUGAGCUUUGCCAGCAGCAGCGGUGUGAGGCAGCAUUGGAGUAGCAGGAAGCAGAGAGGAAUAGGGAGACAUUUAAAUGGACCGCCUGAUGUGAAAAUGGCUGUGAUUGGUUGUGACUGGCUGGAAUGAUAAUUCAAUUAGUGGACCUAUGACUUCCGUGUCCUGCAUGAACUAACGCAAUGCUUAAUUAUUCAUUUAGUUAGCAAUAAUGU
This is a long non-coding RNA of Sander lucioperca (pikeperch), 288 nucleotides long. RefSeq lists it as uncharacterized. The record is from RefSeq and is a predicted model, not a curated record. The transcript is spliced from 3 exons. NCBI's taxonomy places the organism in Eukaryota, Metazoa, Chordata, Actinopteri, Perciformes, Percidae.